Molecule: long non-coding RNA, 2965 nt
Organism: Oncorhynchus nerka (sockeye salmon)
Lineage: Eukaryota; Metazoa; Chordata; Actinopteri; Salmoniformes; Salmonidae
Exons: 2
Source: RefSeq, a predicted model, not a curated record
AAUAGCUGGCUAGCUAACCUCGGUAAAUUAAGAUAAUCACUCUAAGACUACACACUCUAAACUACACAAUUAUCUUGGAUACGAAGACAGCAAAGACAACUAUGUAGCUAGCUAAUACUACACUAAUCAAGUCGUUCAGUUGAGUGUGAUAGUUACUACAGUGCUACGGUAGCCGGUGAACGUAUGCUAGCUGGCUAGCUGCUAGGCAGAUAGGAGGACGACGAAAUACGAUAAUUACGCAAUUAUCUUUGAUACAACGACGGCUAUGUAGCUAGCUAAGAAGAAAUUGCUAAGAUUAGACAAAUCAGACCGUUGUACUAUAAUGAAAUGUAAUGAAAAAGUUAUACAACCUGCAGACCGAAGGAGACCGAAGCGCGGAUGCGACCGGCUCGCUCCAACCCGACAAAAACUAGACUACUAGUUGGUGAAUCCCUAUCACCCACAGUGUCACCAUCAAGAAUACAUCAAGAGUAUUCUACAACACCAGGAAGGACACUCUUUAGUAUGACCCCUAGACCCACUCCAAUUUGCACACUGACCCAACAGAUCUACAGAUGAAGCAAUCGUACUCCACACUGCCCUUUUCCACCUGGACAAAAGGAACGCCUAUGUGAGAUUGCUGUUCAUUGACUACAGUUCAGUGAUCAACACCAUAGUGCCCACAAAGCUCAUCACUAACUAAGAAUCCUGGGACUAAACACCUUCCUCUGCAACUCGAUCCUGGACAUGGUAAGGGUAAGCAACAGCACAUCUGCCACGCUAAUCCUCAACACGGAGGCCCCUCAGGGGUGCGUGCUUAGUCCUCUAUUGUACUCCCUGUUCACCCACGACUGCAGGGCCAAGCAUGACUCCAACACCAUCAAUAAGUUUUCUGACGACAAAGCGGUGGUAGGCCUCCUCACCGACAACGAUGAGACAGCCUAUAGGGAGGAGGUCAGAGACCUGGCAAUGUGGUGCCAGGACAACAACCUUUCCCUCAACGUGAGCAAGACAAAGGAGAUGAUUGUGGACUACAGGAAAAAGAGGGCCAAACACGCCCCCAUUCACAUCAACGGGGCUGUAGUGGAGCAUGUCGAGAGUUUCAAUUUCCGUGGUGUCCACCACCAACAAACUAUCAUGGUCCAAACACACCAAGAAAGUCAUGAAGAGGGCACGACAAAGCCUUUUCCCCCUCAGGGGACUGAAAAGAUUUUGCAUGGGUCCCCAGAUCCUCAAAAAGUUCUACAGCUGCACUAUCGAGAGCAUCCUGACUGGUUGCAUCACUGCCUGGUAUGGCAACUGCUCGGCAUCAGACCAUAAGGCGCUACAGAGGGUAGUGCGUACAGCCCAGUCCAUCACUGGGGCCAAGCUUCCUGCCAUCCAGGACCUAUACUAUGUGGUGUCAGAUGAAGGCCCAAAAAAUGUUCAAAGACUCUAGUCACCCAAGUCCUAGACUGUUCUCUCUGCUACCGCACGGCAAUCGGUACCGGAGCAUAAAGCGUCAUUAUUGUAAUUUUUAUUUAUUUUUUAUAUAUAUUUUUUUUACUUGAUUUAAUAUUUUCUUAACUCUUUUUUUCACAAAACUGCAGUUUUAGUUAACGGUAAGGUGUUGUAUUCAGUGCAUGUGACAAAUACAAUUUGAUUUGAUCUGAGGUAUGUGAAACUCAAUCAUAAUAAUAGUAAAUACACUAAUGUUAUUAUAAGAAUAAUCAUUAUUAUAUUAAUAGGCCUAAUUUAACAUUAUGUUCGGAUCUUCUUCAUCACCUCAUGAGUAGGCAUAGGCCAAUGAUAAUGUAGGCCUAUAAUCUGUGUCAACAUGUACCCUUCAGACAUUUUCUUCAAAAAAUGUAAUACAAUGUUAUGUAUGCUUAAUUAGCACCUUGUUUAUCACUCUAAACUUCUAUCCUAUUUAUAUAUUUUCUUCCACUGCCAUUGACACACUAUGGAAAUAUGUUUAGCUUACUGUCAAGCACUUGGCUACCAAACAAACACUCAAAGUGCUAAAACCUUUCUCUGUGAACCAUUACAAGUUUCUGUAUCCUAUUUAAGGCACCAUUUCAAGGUGAAAGACAACAGAUAUAAAGAAUAUAGCUCAGAGCAUGGUCUCUAACCAAUCCCCUUUCAUUAGCAGGUUGUGGGAAUGUUGGCACUUAACUCAUCUGGCCACAAGCUGAACAGAUAAAUGGUGACUGGUUGUUGUAGCCUGACAGAGAACCAAUGUGGGUCAGUAACACAUUCACAGGUACACUGCUGCCAUGACGUGAAACACAGAACCCUGUUUGUGAUCUCUCUCACUGUCGAUCGACCUCCACCAAACCCACUCAGGUACACAAAUGAUCUACGACAGGAAGUUCCUCCUGGAGUGUCAAACCUCCCCUCUGACAUGCACCCCUCCCUGUCUUCCCGAUAUUCCAGGGGUAACCAAACCCCUCUCAAACAACACUACGACUGACACAGCCCACCCCAAACAGACCCCCAACAACCACAAUCCCCAGCGGACAACAGCGCAUGUAAGAGUCUACAGGGGAGGAUGCUCAAUUUGAAAUGGACAUUUAGCCAUUUGAUGGAUCUGCUGGAUCUGCAGCCUUGAGGAUGACAAUGAAAGAGGGACUCAUGUUUAAACUCAUGUCUUUUUGGAAACAGCACAGCAUACUGAAAUGAAUGAAGACUGCAUUAUUGAAGUGCUGCAUUAUUAUGUGCAGUCAUAAUUCUAAUCGCUCAGGAAGACAAAAAAAUGUACAUACAAUCUCUCCUCUAUUGAUUUAAUAUUAUUUACUAAUUGUUAGUUAUUAUCCUGUCUUAAAGAUGAAGCAUUUGAAUGAUAUGUUUGAGUCUUCUCCAGUAGAAUUUUGUAAGCAUACCAUUCUUUGUCUGGUUCUUCGUUAAGUUGUAGUCGUGUAAUACAUUGUUGAUUGUAAAACUAGGGCUACAUUUUGAAGAAUUAUUCUUCUCCAGAGGAACUAAUAAAAGACAAACAUACUUUUUA